This is a non-coding RNA of Microcebus murinus (gray mouse lemur), 937 nucleotides long. NCBI's taxonomy places the organism in Eukaryota, Metazoa, Chordata, Mammalia, Primates, Cheirogaleidae. The record is from RefSeq and is a predicted model, not a curated record.
CAAAGGAGCUGCAGGACCUGGCCAAUGUGUACCAGCGGAAGCUGGGAGAGUAUGCAUGAAAAUGUAUCCUGAGGAAUGGGUGGAACAUAGAUUUGGAUAAGGGAGUGUUUACCAAUAUGGAGUUCCCUGAUAUGUAAUUUAACACACUAGCAAGGAUUCUAGGAGAUGGCACUAACGUGCUACUAGAAUGGCUCCUAGAAGCUUGGAGAAAGUGAAGGUCCACCUAUGCUGAGUGAAGUACAUGAUAUGACAGAUGACAGAGGAAGGGAGGCAUGCUGGAACGGAUAUACUAUCUGAGACUGGAAGACCCACCCGUUGACUAAGUUCCACAGGGAAGCCUAGAGGGUCACCAGCAUUGAUAAGGAUCUCGGUAGGGAUUGGCUUCUGUAGGCCAGGAAUGGUGGUAGGCGAUGUGGUUAUAGAACACAUCGCCUACAUAGGGCUCGCUGACAGCAACGGGGAUGCCAGAAUCUUGAAAGGCAGAGGCCAGGUGGCUGAAUCAAGAGCACUCUUCAGAACAGAUGGAUCCACCCCUGACUCCUGGGAAUACUUGCUGAUAAUGGUCCACAGCUCUGGCCUUCAAGGGGCAUUGCUGUCAAUCGCAGAGAACUGCCUCACCCAAGAUAUGCACACCCCCUCCUAGGGGACAACCUAUGGCCAACAGCUGGCUGGUAUUGGGGUAGAAAGGCUUGACCUUUUAUCUCAAUUUGGGACAACUCCCAGGGAUCAUCCAACUUCAGAGUUCCCAUCUGGAUUGCCUGAAGUCUCUGUUGCAACCACACCAUGGCCUACAGGAAUGGAGAGGCAAGGAGGACCAGAGUGAAGUGGAAACUUUGAACUUGGAGUUGGAAGACCUUGGUGGAGAAUUCGUGCUAUGCUCCUGUGGAAGAGUUUGGAGGAAAAUUCCCAAUUGCAGUAGCAUCUAAGAGGCAAAGCG